CAGUAGCCACGGUAAUACGUAGGUGGCAAGCGUUGUCCGGAAUUAUUGGGCGUAAAGGGCUCGCAGGCGGUUUCUUAAGUCUGAUGUGAAAGCCCCCGGCUCAACCGGGGAGGGUCAUUGGAAACUGGGAAACUUGAGUGCAGAAGAGGAGAGUGGAAUUCCACGUGUAGCAGUGAAAUGCGUAGAGAUGUGGAGGAGCACCAGUGGCGAAGGCGACUCUCUGGUCUGUAACUGACGCUGAGGAGCGAAAGCGUGGGGAGCGAACAGGAUUAGAGACCCCUGUAGUCCCUGUCUCUUAUAA
RNAcentral lists this ribosomal RNA (301 nucleotides) under uncultured bacterium. Its description in RNAcentral is "partial 16S ribosomal RNA". It matches the Rfam family "Bacterial small subunit ribosomal RNA", at positions 509 to 809 of the family's 1533-position model. The record is from RNAcentral.